RNAcentral lists this ribosomal RNA (272 nucleotides) under uncultured bacterium. Its description in RNAcentral is "partial 16S ribosomal RNA". It matches the Rfam family "Bacterial small subunit ribosomal RNA", at positions 15 to 286 of the family's 1533-position model. The record is from RNAcentral.
GAUCAUGGCUCAGGACGAACGCUGGCGGCGUGCCUAACACAUGCAAGUCGAACGGAGAUAAAGAUUUCGGUUUUUAUCUUAGUGGCGCACGGGUGAGUAACACGUGAAUAACCUGACCCAAAGAGGGGGGAUAACACCUGGAAACAGGUGCUAAUACCGCGUAAGACCACAAUGUCGCAUGACGAAGGGGUCAAAGAAAAUCGCUUUGGGAGGGGUUCGCGUCCCAUUAGGUAGUAGGCGGGGUAACGGCCCACCUAGCCGACGAUGGGUAG